RNAcentral lists this ribosomal RNA (252 nucleotides) under uncultured Bacteroidales bacterium. Its description in RNAcentral is "partial 16S ribosomal RNA". It matches the Rfam family "Bacterial small subunit ribosomal RNA", at positions 524 to 776 of the family's 1533-position model. The record is from RNAcentral. Lineage: Bacteria; Pseudomonadati; Bacteroidota; Bacteroidia; Bacteroidales.
UACGGGGGAUGCAAGCGUUAUCCGGAUUUAUUGGGUUUAAAGGGAGCGUAGGUGGAUUGUUAAGUCAGCGGUAAAAGCCCGGGGCUCAACCCCGGCGAGCCGUUGAAACUGGCGGGCUGGAGUUGGAGAGAAGUACGCGGAAUGCGCGGUGUAGCGGUGAAAUGCUUAGAUAUCGCGCAGAACCCCGAUUGCGAAGGCAGCGUACCGGCUCCACACUGACGCUGAGGCACGAAAGCGUGGGGAGCAAAUAGG